GAUGACUUUCAAAAAAAUAUAAACAUGAGGAUGAUGACAAUGAUAUAAGAAUUCAAUAAAACAAGUUCAAGAAUUAAUUUAUUCAGGAACUAAUAACGUCCAAGUUGUCAACAUGAUACUGCUUUGUGCAGUAAAAUUCAAGAAUGCUCAGAAGAAUAUUUCCAUGAAAAGAUACUGGAUGAAGCGCAAAUAUCAAGAAUAUU
Molecule: long non-coding RNA, 203 nt
Filed under: Panax ginseng (ginseng)
Lineage: Eukaryota; Viridiplantae; Streptophyta; Magnoliopsida; Apiales; Araliaceae
Description: long non-coding RNA (PGIN_LNC010891)
Source: RNAcentral